Molecule: long non-coding RNA, 579 nt
Filed under: Callithrix jacchus (white-tufted-ear marmoset)
Lineage: Eukaryota; Metazoa; Chordata; Mammalia; Primates; Cebidae
Description: lncRNA (ENSCJAG00000079137.1)
Source: RNAcentral
AGCAGUGUUUUUCCAACCACCAUUCAUCGGCACUUCUUGUUUUAGCUGUUUUUCUCAACACUACUUCCAGAGCCUAAAAUAAUGCAUGACUCAGAACAAGUUCCCUGUAUUUGUAGAAUGAAUGAGUAAAGGUCAAUGGUGAAGUUCUGGCAUAGCUUAGUUAUGUAGCAGUCUGUCUCCCAAGAGUAUAAGCAUUUAAUUCAGGGGCUGUGUUUAAUGGCUGGCAAGUCAUAUCUGAGGAUAAGGAGGGCUUCACUUAUUGAGUUUGCUAGAUAUGAUGUUGAGUACCUGAGGAAAGUCAGCAUCAACAUCAACUGAAAACUUGCUGGAAAUAGAAAUUCUCAGGAACUGAACCAGAAACUCAAGGAUUCAAGUUUCCACUGUGUUGCCCAGGCUGGUCUCAAGUUUCUGAGCUCAAGCCGGCCUCCUGCCUCAGCCUCCCAGUAUGUUUGGAUUACAGACUGGAGCCACCGUGCCAGCCCUGGCUGUGUGUGAAAGGAAAUACUGGGCUACAGAGCUAGAAAGUACAAAACUAUGAUGGAGUUUUCAGGUUGUGUCAGCAUCUAGGUCUUUACACUU